This 468-nucleotide ribosomal RNA is filed under the name uncultured bacterium. Its description in RNAcentral is "partial 16S ribosomal RNA". It matches the Rfam family "Bacterial small subunit ribosomal RNA", at positions 28 to 507 of the family's 1533-position model. The record is from RNAcentral.
GACGAACGCUGGCGGCGUGCUUAACACAUGCAAGUCGAACGGAAAGGCCCUGCUUUUGUGGGGUGCUCGAGUGGCGAACGGGUGAGUAACACGAGAGUAACCUGACCUUCACUUUGGGAUAGCUUCAGGAAACUGGGGCUAAUACCAGAUAGGAGCUCCUGCUUCAUGGUGGGGGUGGGAAAGGUGCUGCGGCUGGGGCUGGUCGCGCGGGUUGUCAGCUGGUUGGUGGGGUAGUGGCUUAUGAAGGCUUCGACGGGUAGCCGGCCUGAGGGGGUGAGCGGCCACGUUGGGACUGAGACACGGCCCAGACUCGUACGGGAGGCAGCAGUGGGGAAUAUUGUGCUGUGGGCGGGAGCCGGAUGCAGCAACGCCGCGUGCGGGGUGACGGCCUUCGGGUUGUAAACCGCGUCCGCCUGUGACGAAGCGUGAGUGACGGUAAUGGGUAAAGAAGCACCGGCUAACUACGUG